CCACCCCUAAAAAAAAUUCAUUCAUCAGCUCCACCCCACCGCAAACCCCUCUCUGUCUCCACCCCUCCUCCCUUCCCCUUCCAGAUCGCCGCCGCCGCCGCAUCCCCAUCGGCUCCACCGGCGAGCCCUCGCAUCCAUGGCCUCCUCCACGCCCUUCCUCACCGCAUCGCCACCCGGACCCUAUCCCUUCCUCACCGCAUGGCCACCCCAAGCCUCCACCGAUGGAACCCUAACCCUAACCUAGCGACAACAGCGUCGCGGUUGGCUUGCUCGCCGGCGCGUGCGUGCGUGCUUCGAUGCGCGACGCCCCGUCGAGCUGGCCGGCGGCGGCGAGGGCGGCAACAAGGGCCCGGGGCAGGGCGGUGGCGCGGUUCGUGCAGACCAGGCACCGCUCCUCCGGCAAGGUGCUCGGCGAGGAGGAGACGGCCGCCGAGAACGUCUACAUCAAGUCAAGUGCUGUUCUUGGUGGAGUUGCGCCUCCGGUGCGCUCUUCGGGCUGCUCGGAGCCAUGCUGUCAGAGCUCUUCAUCAACUGGGCCAUCUACACCAACAAGGAGGGUGCAUCUCCAACCAAUUCUGCAGCGGUAGCAGCACCAGCAGUACUUCGUUCUGAAAAUCCGUCAAGUUUCUCUGGAAUUUGGUUAACCUUGUUGAAAUUAUAUGCUCUGGAAUUUGUGAUUCUGUGCACAACCAGUGGAUUGCUGCAUGAUUUUGUGCUACCGGACGCAAGGGUGGAGAAUGCGCCUCCUUGCCGAAGCUUCUCGCUCUAGCGGUCUGGUGCUGGUGAUCUCAGCCCGUAUAGAUGGAUUGGCCAGCAGCUGUGUAUACGGCAGCGGUGCUGCUGUACUACUACACCUAUGAUCCAAUCUAAAGUGCUGGUCCCAAGACUCUGAACUAGCCAAGAAGCAGGAGAGGACGAGAGAGCAACUUCGCUGUGUGCAGCAGCCCUACAAACCCUUUCUACUAUGACCUGAUGAAGCCAUGAUGCUUACCUCGCUGGAGCGUAUCAACCCUAGCCAUGGUACCACAUUCUUAGUCAUGAGGUCACUGUGCUACAACCACAACAACGAUAUCUUCUCCAGUUAGAUAAGUCUUCGGUCUAUCCCAUUAUUUUCUGUUACUUGGUUUUGAGAUGCUUAUUUUGGGACGAAGGGAGUAUUAUUGUGUCGAUUCCCUAUGUGAUAUAGAAGCUAUGGUAUUUUGUUUUGAGUCUGUUGUAAUUGAUAAUGAUUUGUGUAAAAUUAGUGUAGAACAUAUGUCCUGUUAUCUUAAGUCAUUUGUGCAUGCUCAAUGAACCAUCUGAGAUUGAAUCAUUUUUUGCGUUCAACAUCUAGAACCAUUCUGUCCGUGUUGGUAUUCAUGCUACAACUGUGCUUUCUUGUCUCUUGUGUUGCGUGGUCCUUGUGGUUGUUACUGUUACAUGUACAUAUGCUUCAUGAUUCAGUCCCUAGCUGCUUUGUAUGUUUGUUUUUAUUCUGUUUCUAACUCCUUUUGUUUAUUGUUAGAUGCCUUUGUUCAGCCUCUGCAAACAAGAGCUCCAACCUGAAAGUGAAGAAAGCAGAAGUAUACCUGUAGAGCUAGUUAUAUGUUGUGAUAGUAUCUGGGUGAAAUGUACUAUGUAAAGAUUGUGCUAUUAGCCAAAAUUGGCAUGUGUAUUGAUAAUUUCCAUCUGUUAACUGUUCUCAAUGAAAUAUUGCUUCAAAUUAUGGAAA
RNA transcript from Aegilops tauschii subsp. strangulata, 1711 nucleotides. RefSeq lists it as uncharacterized. NCBI's taxonomy places the organism in Eukaryota, Viridiplantae, Streptophyta, Magnoliopsida, Poales, Poaceae. The record is from RefSeq and is a predicted model, not a curated record.